GACGAACGCUGGCGGCGUGCCUAAUACAUGCAAGUUGAGCGCUGAAGGUUGGUACUUGUACCAACUGGAUGAGCAGCGAACGGGUGAGUAACGCGUGGGGAAUCUGCCUUUGAGCGGGGGACAACAUUUGGAAACGAAUGCUAAUACCGCAUAAAAACUUUAAACACAAGUUUUAAGUUUGAAAGAUGCAAUUGCAUCACUCAAAGAUGAUCCCGCGUUGUAUUAGCUAGUUGGUGAGGUAAAGGCUCACCAAGGCGAUGAUACAUAGCCGACCUGAGAGGGUGAUCGGCCACAUUGGGACUGAGACAAGGCCCAAACUCCUACGGGAGGCAGCAGUAGGGAAUCUUCGGCAAUGGACGAAAGUCUGACCGAGCAACGCCGCGUGAGUGAAGAAGGUUUUCGGAUCGUAAAACUCUGUUGGUAGAGAAGAACGUUGGUGAGAGUGGAAAGCUCAUCAAGUGACGGUAACUACACAGAAAGGGACGGCUAACUACGUG
Molecule: ribosomal RNA, 497 nt
Filed under: uncultured bacterium
Lineage: Bacteria
Description: partial 16S ribosomal RNA
Rfam family: Bacterial small subunit ribosomal RNA
Source: RNAcentral